CCUACGGGAGGCAGCAGUGAGGAAUAUUGGUCAAUGGACGCGAGCCUGAACCAGCCAAGUCGCGUGAGGGAAGACGGUCCUAUGAGUUGUAAACCGCUUUUGUCGGGGGGCAAAAGACGCCACGCGUGGCGUUCCGAGAGUACCCUAAGAAAAAGCAUCGGCUAACUCCGUGCCAGCAGCCGCGGUAAUACGGAGGAUGCGAGCGUUAUCCGGAUUUAUUGGGUUUAAAGGGUGCGCAGGCGGAAGAUCAAGUCAGCGGUAAAAUUGAGGGGCUCAACCUCUUCGAGCCGUUGAAACUGGUCUGCUUGAGUGAGCGUGCGGUAGGCGGAAUGUGUGGUGUAGCGGUGAAAUGCAUAGAGAUCACGCAGAACACCGAUUGCGAAGGCAGCAUACC
RNAcentral lists this ribosomal RNA (394 nucleotides) under uncultured bacterium. Its description in RNAcentral is "partial 16S ribosomal RNA". It matches the Rfam family "Bacterial small subunit ribosomal RNA", at positions 338 to 730 of the family's 1533-position model. The record is from RNAcentral.